AUGGAAGGCGGCUGCUAUACAUGCAGUCGAGCGAACAGACGAGGAGCUUGCUCCUCUGACGUUAGCGGCGGACGGGUGAGUAACACGUGGAUAACCUACCUAUAAGACUGGGAUAACUUCGGGAAACCGGAGCUAAUACCGGAUAACAUGUUGAACCGCAUGGUUCAACAGUGAAAGACGGUCUUGCUGUCACUUAUAGAUGGAUCCGCGCCGCAUUAGCUAGUUGGUAAGGUAACGGCUUACCAAGGCAACGAUGCGUAGCCGACCUGAGAGGGUGAUCGGCCACACUGGAACUGAGACACGGUCCAGACUCCUACGGGAGGCAGCAGUAGGGAAUCUUCCGCAAUGGGCGAAAGCCUGACGGAGCAACGCCGCGUGAGUGAAGAAGGUCUUCGGAUCGUAAAACUCUGUUAUUAGGGAAGAACAAAUGUGUAAGUAACUAUGCACGUCUUGACGGUACCUAAUCAGAAAGCCACGGCUAACUACGUGCCAGCAGCCGCGGUAAUACGUAGGUGGCAAGCGUUAUCCGGAAUUAUUGGGCGUAAAGCGCGCGUAGGCGGUUUUUUAAGUCUGAUGUGAAAGCCCACGGCUCAACCGUGGAGGGUCAUUGGAAACUGGAAAACUUGAGUGCAGAAGAGGAAAGUGGAAUUCCAUGUGUAGCGGUGAAAUGCGCAGAGAUAUGGAGGAACACCAGUGGCGAAGGCGACUUUCUGGUCUGUAACUGACGCUGAUGUGCGAAAGCGUGGGGAUCAAACAGGAUUAGAUACCCUGGUAGUCCACGCCGUAAACGAUGAGUGCUAAGUGUUAGGGGGUUUCCGCCCCUUAGUGCUGCAGCUAACGCAUUAAGCACUCCGCCUGGGGAGUACGACCGCAAGGUUGAAACUCAAAGGAAUUGACGGGGACCCGCACAAGCGGUGGAGCAUGUGGUUUAAUUCGAAGCAACGCGAAGAACCUUACCAAAUCUUGACAUCCUCUGACCCCUCUAGAGAUAGAGUUUUCCCCUUCGGGGGACAGAGUGACAGGUGGUGCAUGGUUGUCGUCAGCUCGUGUCGUGAGAUGUUGGGUUAAGUCCCGCAACGAGCGCAACCCUUAAGCUUAGUUGCCAUCAUUAAGUUGGGCACUCUAAGUUGACUGCCGGUGACAAACCGGAAGGAAGUGGGGGAUGACGUCAA
RNAcentral lists this ribosomal RNA (1172 nucleotides) under Staphylococcus capitis. RNAcentral describes it as "bacterial SSU rRNA". It matches the Rfam family "Bacterial small subunit ribosomal RNA", at positions 29 to 1188 of the family's 1533-position model. Lineage: Bacteria; Bacillati; Bacillota; Bacilli; Caryophanales; Staphylococcaceae. The record is from RNAcentral.